GCGCGCGAUUGUCUUAGUAGAGGCCUCAUUGUGUUCACAAACUUAAUUAAAUUUCUGCCAAAAAUUGAACUUAACGCAGUCUCGGACAAAAUUUUCAUUUUUCGUGCUUUAAGCCCAGUGAUGUAGUUUUCGUGCGAAACUCGCAUAAAAAAUGAAUUCAAAAGACACAGAAUGGGGGACUGGGUACGAGUAAACAACCGUUUUGAACUGCUUAUUGGAUCCUCUAUGUCUCCUGUUCUAACUUUUCAAUCGGGACUCUGACAUCCAAUUUUUGCAACUUUAAGCAACGCAAUUUUCUACUACGGCAGAAACGGACAGAUUGACGAACGCGAAACAGAAUCUGGUUUGUUUGGUGGAGGGUCUUUGAGUUUACCCGGAAGAUUCCGCAGGCGGAGCAGAAAGACCUGUCUCCGUACCCACGCUGUUUUGACGAACUGGUGUUUUUGGAUGAACAGUUUUAACUUUUUUCAUGCAGCCAUCAUUGCACAUUUACUCUCAAAGAAAUAUAUAAGCAUAGAUGACACGUUACGCACACGUUACGCACACGUUACGCACACGUUACGCCACACGUUACGUUUGAGUUUAUAUAGAAUAUUAAUGAAAACCGACACGUUACACACGUUACGCCCCAUUCUUAUAAAGGUAGAAUAGGUCUACCUUUAAUAUAUUAGGCGUAACGUGUGUAACGUGUCAGCUUUCUAUAGAUUAUUAUAUACUGAAAGGCGUAACGUGUGGCGUAACGUGUGCGUAACGUGUGCGUAACGUGUUGAAAUUGAGUUCUAUUUAGUUUGCAUGCAUGUAUAAGGUCUUCAAAAUAAUUUUCACGCGGAGGCAAUAAAUCGUUGAGUUUUCGCAUAGUACUUUUAUUGAAUAUGCAUGGU
Paramuricea clavata is the source of this 881-nucleotide non-coding RNA. The record is from the annotation of a GenBank genome assembly. NCBI's taxonomy places the organism in Eukaryota, Metazoa, Cnidaria, Anthozoa, Malacalcyonacea, Plexauridae.